UUCGCAAUGCCCGAAAGGGUGACGAUGCGACGCCGCGUGAGCGAAGAAGGCCCUAGGGUUGUAAAGCUCUGUCGAGGGUUAUGAAAUAUAGAUGGGUUAAUACCCCAUUUAUUUGACAAAAGCCCAAAAGGAAGCCACGGCUAACUCUGUGCCAGCAGCCGCGGUAAUACAGAGGUGGCGAGCGUUGUUCGGAAUUAUUGGGCGUAAAGAGCACGUAGGUGGGUUUGUAAGUCAGAUGUGAAAGCCUUCUGUUCAACGGAAGAAUUGCAUCUGAAACUACAGAUCUUGAGUGUAGGAGGGGAGAAUGGAACUUCUGGUGGAGCGGUGAAAUGCGUAGAUAUCAGAAGGAACGUCGGCGGCGAAAGCGACUCUCUGGCCUAUUACUGACACUGAGGUGCGAAAGUUAGGGGAGCAAACGGGAUUAGAUACCCCGGUAGUCCUAACUGUAAACGAUGGGCACUAAGUAGAGGGGUUUU
This 476-nucleotide ribosomal RNA is filed under the name uncultured anaerobic ammonium-oxidizing bacterium. Its description in RNAcentral is "bacterial SSU rRNA". It matches the Rfam family "Bacterial small subunit ribosomal RNA", at positions 365 to 832 of the family's 1533-position model. The record is from RNAcentral.